This 396-nucleotide long non-coding RNA is filed under the name Homo sapiens (human). RNAcentral describes it as "non-protein coding lnc-EFHB-3:1". Lineage: Eukaryota; Metazoa; Chordata; Mammalia; Primates; Hominidae. The record is from RNAcentral.
AUGGCUGUGGAGUCGCACAUUACCCAGAAGGAAAUUAAGAAGGAGCUUCAGAAGCUGAUCCUCACAAGCAGACAGGCCCGCUGCCGCCAGUAACAGCCGCCGCCACCGAAUGGUCGAGUUCUCCGGAUGAAACAUACCGUCCAGCGUGCUGGCGACCUACACUUGGAUAGAUGCAACCUUGAAAGAACUGAGCUUAGUAAAAUAAGUCUAUCCAGAGGCUAGAAAGAAGGGCACACAUUUCAAUUUUAUAGGUUUUUACAGAUAUUAAAAGAUCUGGCUAUCGAGUUAAGGAGAUUGGCAGCGCCACAUCUGGCAGAAAGGGGACUGGUGAUUCCAUGACCCCUGCAGUCACAGAAGUUACAACUAGGAGAUUAUUCGGACAUAACGAUUACUCCC